Molecule: ribosomal RNA, 337 nt
Filed under: uncultured bacterium
Lineage: Bacteria
Description: bacterial SSU rRNA
Rfam family: Bacterial small subunit ribosomal RNA
Source: RNAcentral
AGCGAACGCUGGCGGCGUGGUUAAGGCAUGCAAGUCGAGCGAUCCCGCAGCAAUGCGGGAUAGCGGCAAACGGGUGAGUAACGCGUAGGUAACCUACCCUGAAGUGUGGGACAACCCUGCGAAAGCGGGGCUAAUACCACAUGCGCUCGCAGACUGCAUGGUCUGCGAGGAAAGAUGGCCUCGACCGAAAGGUUGCUAUCACUUUAGGAGGGACCUGCGUCCCAUCAGCUAGUUGGUAGGUACGCUACCAGCUUAUGACGGUAGCUAGCCUUAGAGGGCGGUUAGCCACACUGGGACUGAGACACUGCCCAGACUCCUACGGGAGGCUGCAGUCGAG